RNAcentral lists this ribosomal RNA (274 nucleotides) under uncultured bacterium. Its description in RNAcentral is "partial 16S ribosomal RNA". It matches the Rfam family "Bacterial small subunit ribosomal RNA", at positions 523 to 796 of the family's 1533-position model. The record is from RNAcentral.
AUACGGAGGGUGCAAGCGUUACUCGGAAUCACUGGGCGUAAAGCGCGCGCAGGCGGCUUGAUAAGUUGGAUGUGAAAGCCUACGGCUCAACCGUAGAACUGCAUCCAAAACUGUCAGGCUAGAGUGUGGGAGAGGAAGAUGGAAUUAGUUGUGUAGGGGUAAAAUCCGUAGAGAUAACUAGGAAUACCAAAAGCGAAUGCAAUCUUCUGGAACACUACUGACGCUGAGGCGCGAAGGCGUGGGGAGCAAACAGGAUUAGAAACCCCAGUAGUCC